RNAcentral lists this ribosomal RNA (279 nucleotides) under uncultured bacterium. RNAcentral's name for it is "partial 16S ribosomal RNA". It matches the Rfam family "Bacterial small subunit ribosomal RNA", at positions 506 to 784 of the family's 1533-position model. The record is from RNAcentral.
UGCCAGCCGCCGCGGUAAUACGGAGGGUGCAAGCGUUAUCCGGAAUUACUGGGUUUAAAGGGUGCGUAGGCGGCGACGUAAGUCAGAAGUGAAAGUUGGCAGCUUAACUGCAAAAUUGCUUUUGAAACUACGUUGCUUGAAUCAAGUUGAGGCUGGCGGAAUGUGACAUGUAGCGGUGAAAUGCUUAGAUAUGUCAUAGAACACCAAUUGCGAAGGCAGCUGGCUAGGCUUGUAUUGACGCUGAGGCACGAAAGCGUGGGGAGCGAACAGGAUUAGAUA